RNAcentral lists this ribosomal RNA (460 nucleotides) under uncultured bacterium. RNAcentral describes it as "bacterial SSU rRNA". It matches the Rfam family "Bacterial small subunit ribosomal RNA", at positions 346 to 793 of the family's 1533-position model. The record is from RNAcentral.
CAGCGAGUGGGGGAAAUAUUGCACAAUGGGGGGAAAACCCCUGAUGCAGCCAUGCCGCGUGUGUGAAGAAGGCCUUCGGGUUGUAAAGCACUUUCAGUAGGGAGGAAGGUAGUGUAGUUAACACCUGCACUAUUUGACGUUACCUACAGAAGAAGCACCGGCUAACUCCGUGCCAGCAGCCGCGGUAAUACGGAGGGUGCGAGCGUUAAUCGGAAUUACUGGGCGUAAAGCGCAUGCAGGCGGACCUGUUAAGUCAGAUGUGAAAGCCCGGGGCUUAACCUCGGAAUUGCAUUUGAAACUGGCAGGCUAGAGUCUUGUAGAGGGGGUAGAAUUUCAGGUGUAGCGGUGAAAAUGCGUAGAGAUCUGAAGGAAUACCAGUGGCGAAGGCGGCCCCCUGGACAAAGACUGACGCUCAGAUGCGAAAAGCGUGGGGAGCAAACAGGAUUAGAUACCCUGGUAG